UGUUUCUUUGUGUCUGUGGAUUUGUAGGGCAACUAUCUGGUCGUGGGCCUGUGGUUGCUGUUGCUCAGAAGGUGGGCAGUUGGAUAUGGAGCAGGGAAGAGUAUACAGAGCAGGGAAGAAACAGAGUGAGGAAAACUUGAAGCCUCUAGCACAGACGUUUAUUAAAAGAGAAGGCAUGACAUAGUGUUCUAGGAAAUUAAUUGCAGCAAUGUAGGAUUGUUUGACAGGACAGAUGGCCCUUGAAGUUAGUGGUCAUGAGUUUGAAGUAUUACCAGGUAGCAUAGUGAAUUUUUUCUCCAGUUACAGGCUUCAGGUUAAGGCAUGGAAUGGUCAGGGUUGGGAUUUUGCCAAUUUAGUAAAGAGAGAGAGGUGAAAAAAAGUU
Long non-coding RNA from Pipistrellus kuhlii (Kuhl's pipistrelle), 382 nucleotides. RefSeq lists it as uncharacterized. The transcript is spliced from 2 exons. NCBI's taxonomy places the organism in Eukaryota, Metazoa, Chordata, Mammalia, Chiroptera, Vespertilionidae. The record is from RefSeq and is a predicted model, not a curated record.